This 301-nucleotide ribosomal RNA is filed under the name uncultured bacterium. RNAcentral's name for it is "partial 16S ribosomal RNA". It matches the Rfam family "Bacterial small subunit ribosomal RNA", at positions 509 to 807 of the family's 1533-position model. The record is from RNAcentral.
CAGCCGCCGCGGUAAUACGAAGGGUGCAAGCGUUAAUCGGAAUUACUGGGCGUAAAGCGUGCGUAGGCGGUUUGUUAAGUCUGCUGUGAAAUCCCCGGGCUCAACCUGGGAAUGGCAGUGGAUACUGGCUCGCUAGAGUGUGUCAGAGGAUGGUGGAAUUCCCGGUGUAGCGGUGAAAUGCGUAGAGAUCGGGAGGAACAUCAGUGGCGAAGGCGGCCAUCUGGGACAACACUGACGCUGAGGCACGAAAGCGUGGGGAGCAAACAGGAUUAGAUACCCCUGUAGUCCCUGUCUCUUAUAC